AGAUGUGAGGGCAAUCUGACUGACUUCUGUCACCCCAUUGAUCACCAGGGUUGAUUUGGAUGAUCUGGCUGGGUAGGCGGGUAUCCCCUUCCUCCCUCACAGCUCCAUGUGUGUCCCUCCCGAAGCUGCAUGCUCGGUCAAAGAGGAUGACCUUCCCCUCAUAGAGGAGGACCGGUCUUCGGUCAAGGGUAUGCGAGUAGCUGUGCUCCCAUGCAAGAACCUCCAAACAAGCUCUCAGUCAUACAUCUGCAUCUUGAGGUUGAUUGAGAGACAGUCAUACUGUCUGUGCAUACUGUCUGUUU
Molecule: unclassified non-coding RNA, 302 nt
Organism: Mesocricetus auratus (golden hamster)
Lineage: Eukaryota; Metazoa; Chordata; Mammalia; Rodentia; Cricetidae
Gene: 7SK
Rfam family: 7SK RNA
About the family: 7SK was discovered as an abundant small nuclear RNA in the mid-70s but a possible function has only recently been suggested. Two independent studies have found that 7SK RNA binds the CDK9/cyclin T complex (known as elongation factor P-TEFb).
Source: Ensembl